AGCUCCAAUAGCGUAUAUUAAAGUUGUUGUGGUUAAAAAGCUCGUAGUUGGAUCUCAACAGCCUUCGAAGCGGUUAACUUUGUAGUUUUACUGCUUUGUAGGCUGUGCUUUUGCUGGAGGUUUAGGGGUGCUCUUGAUCGAGUGUCUCUGGAUGCCAGCAGGUUUACUUUGAAAAAAUUAGAGUGCUCAAAGCAGGCUAAAAUGCCUGAAUAUUCGUGCAUGGAAUAAUAGAAUAGGAUGUCGAUCCUAUUUUGUUGGUUUUCGGAAAUCGACUUAAUGAUUAAUAGGGAUAGUCGGGGGCAUUCGUAUUCAAACGACAGAGGUGAAAUUCUUGGACCGUUUGAAGACGAACUAAGGCGAAAGCAUUUGCCAAGAAUGUUUUCA
This 384-nucleotide ribosomal RNA is filed under the name marine copepod environmental sample. RNAcentral's name for it is "SSU rRNA". It matches the Rfam family "Eukaryotic small subunit ribosomal RNA", at positions 587 to 972 of the family's 1831-position model. Lineage: Eukaryota; Metazoa; Arthropoda; Copepoda. The record is from RNAcentral.